Long non-coding RNA from Neopelma chrysocephalum (saffron-crested tyrant-manakin), 351 nucleotides. RefSeq lists it as uncharacterized. The record is from RefSeq and is a predicted model, not a curated record. The transcript has 2 exons. NCBI's taxonomy places the organism in Eukaryota, Metazoa, Chordata, Aves, Passeriformes, Pipridae.
AAACUAAAGACACUGGAGGAUUUUUUUUUUUCCUCAAUAUAACUGGGAAAAAAAAAUCUAAAGUCAUUAUUGGAAUCCUGUGAAACAGGACUACACCCUUUCUGCAGACUUGUUGCACUCAGGUUCUUUGUCACUGGAUCCCAGGCUUAUCAGGUAGCGAGGACAGCCAGAACCAGCCAGCCUUAGUGGCUGUAUCUGCAGAGGAGCUGAAGGAUGGUCGCAGUGCAGCACCACACCACAAGAUGGCAAGAACCAGAAGCUGACCUCAAACCAGAAUUCAGAUAGAACAAUGAAAUUACAUUAAAAUUUGAGAUUCCAAACUACCAAACACGUAAUUUUAAUGAAACUGGG